UCCCCCCCGGUUAACGGCGACCCGCAGGCGCUGCUGGUGCCCGGGAAGAGCCCGUCGCGGCGGCGGCCCGGCCCGCUCGGCUCCCGCCGUUCCAGCGCCAUCGGUAUCGAGAGCAUCCAGGAGGCGCCGGCCGGCAGGGACGGCCCCGCCGCCACCCCCGAGGGCGCCUGCUCCACGCACAGCUCCCCCGAGAGCCGCCGGCACCACGACAGGUCCCGCACCGGGACGGGGGGGCACCGGGGUGGGGGGACACGGGGGGGGGGACACGGGGUCUGGAGGGCACCGGGAUGGGGCAGUGCAAGGACGGGGUGGCACCAGGGUGAGGUGACAUGGGGUCUGGAGGGCACCAGGAUGGGGUGACAUAGGGUGACGUGGGGUCUGGAGGUCCCCAGGAUGGCAUAGUGCAAGGACGAGGUGGCACGGGGACGGGGUGGCAUCAGGAUGGGGUGACACGGGGUGACGUGCGGUCUUGAAGGUCACCAGGAUGGGGUGACAUGGGGUCUUGGAGGUCACCAGGAUGNNNNNNNNNNNNNNNNNNNNNNNNNNNNNNNNNGGGUGACAUGGGGUCUGGAGGGCACCAGGAUGGGGUGACAUGGGGUCUUGGAGGUCACCAGGAUGGGGCAGUGCAAGGCUGGGGUGGCACCAAGAUGAGGUGACAUGGGGUCUGGAGGUCACCAGGAUGGGGCAGUGCAAGGAUGGGGUGGCACGGCGAUGGUGUGGCACCAGGAUGGGAUGACAUGGGGUCUGGAGGGCAUCAGGAUGAGGUGACAUAGGGGUGACAUGGGGUCUGGAGGGCACCGGGAUGGGACAGUGCAAGGCUGGGGUGGCACCAGGUUGAGGUGACAUGGGGUCUGAAGGGCACCAGGAUGGGGUGACAUAGGGGUGCAACAGGCCAGAGUGACACAGAGGGGUGACGUGGUCUGGAGGGCACUGGGAUUAGGUGGAUAGGGGAUGGGGUGGCACUGGGAUGGGGUGACAUCGGGGUGAUAUGGGGUUUGGAGGUCACCAGGAUGGGGUGACAUAGGGUGACGUGGGGUCUGGAGGUCACCAGGAUGGGGCAGUGCAAGGACGGGGUGGCACGGGGAUGGUGUGGCACCAGGAUGGGGUGACAAUGGGUGACAUGGGGUCUGGAGAACAUCAGACCAUGGUGACACCGGGAUGGGAUGUCACCAGCGUGGGGUGGCAUAGGGAUGCAAUGGGCCAGGAUGACACCAGGAUGGGGUAGCACUGGGAUGGGAUGACAGAGACUGGAGGGUACUGGGAUGGGGCAGCAAGGGGUGGCACAAGGAUGCAAUGGGACAGGGUGGCACCAGGGUGGGGUGGCUCCCUGGGGGGGUGACAUGGGGGCUGGAGGGCACUG
RNAcentral lists this long non-coding RNA (1360 nucleotides) under Calidris pygmaea (Spoon-billed sandpiper). Its description in RNAcentral is "lncRNA (ENSCPGG00000008773.1)". The record is from RNAcentral. Lineage: Eukaryota; Metazoa; Chordata; Aves; Charadriiformes; Scolopacidae.